RNAcentral lists this ribosomal RNA (326 nucleotides) under uncultured eukaryote. RNAcentral's name for it is "partial 18S ribosomal RNA". It matches the Rfam family "Eukaryotic small subunit ribosomal RNA", at positions 1470 to 1796 of the family's 1831-position model. The record is from RNAcentral.
CCCUUAGAUGUUCUGGGCCGCACGCGCGCUACACUGAUGCAUUCAACGAGCCUAGCCUUGACCGAGAGGUCCGGGUAAUCUUUGAAACUGCAUCGUGAUGGGGCUAGAUUAUUGCAAUUAUUAAUCUUCAACGAGGAAUGCCUAGUAAGCGUGAUUCACCAAAUCGCGUUGAUUACGUCCCUGCCCUUUGUACACACCGCCCGUCGCUCCUACCGAUUGAGUGUGUUGGUGAGGAGUUUGGAUUGGCCUCGGAAGGUGGUUCGCCACCGUCCGUAGCUGAGAAGUUCUCCAAACCGCCCCACUUAGAGGAAGGAGAAGUCGUAACA